UCACAAGUGCAAAAAUGCAAGAGUGACUCUGGGUUUACCUUUUAUCUGUUGUAGGUGGGCUUUGCCUGUGGUUUUAAAGUCCACAACCUGUAGUCCCGGGAUGGACCGUAGCCAGUGCUCCCUGCAGUGCCUGAGCCGUCUGUGCAAAGGAUGGAUUGAUCCCCCCUACUCAUCUCCCACAGGCUGGAUGAAGAGGACAUUUGGCUGAUUGUUUUCCUGUUGGUAAGCAGUUGUGGGAGGAGAUAAUACCUUACCCCUGCAAAGUUACUGGUGCUGGAAAUCUGAUCCUGUCUCUGCGACGGGAUAUGCUGGCAAGGCAAGUACAUUGAGAGAUCCCAUAUUGGGCAGCAUGGCAUUUCUUUCACUUUGAAUAA
RNAcentral lists this long non-coding RNA (374 nucleotides) under Struthio camelus australis. RNAcentral describes it as "lncRNA (ENSSCUG00000011914.1)". Lineage: Eukaryota; Metazoa; Chordata; Aves; Struthioniformes; Struthionidae. The record is from RNAcentral.